RNAcentral lists this ribosomal RNA (465 nucleotides) under uncultured Enterobacteriaceae bacterium. RNAcentral describes it as "bacterial SSU rRNA". It matches the Rfam family "Bacterial small subunit ribosomal RNA", at positions 919 to 1382 of the family's 1533-position model. The record is from RNAcentral. Lineage: Bacteria; Pseudomonadati; Pseudomonadota; Gammaproteobacteria; Enterobacterales; Enterobacteriaceae.
ACCCGCACAAGCGGUGGAUGAUGUGGAUUAAUUCGAUGCAACGCGAAAACCUUUACCUACCCUUUGACAUGUCCGGAAUCCUGCAGAGAUGCGGGAGUGCCCGAAAGGGAAUCGGUACACAGGUGCUGCAUGGCUGUCGUCAGCUCGUGUUGUGAAAUGUUGGAUUAAGUCCCGCAACGAGCGCAACCCUUAUCCUUUGUUGCCAGCGGUCCGGCCGGGAACUCAAAGGAGACUGCCAGUGAUAAACUGGAGGAAGGUGGGAUGACGUCAAGUCAUCAUGGCCCUUACGACCAGGGCUACACACGUGCUACAAUGGCGCAUACAAAGAGAAGCGACCUCGCGAGAGCAAGCGGACCUCAUAAAGUGCGUCGUAGUCCGGAUUGGAGUCUGCAACUCGACUCCAUGAAGUCGGAAUCGCUAGUAAUCGUGGAUCAGAAUGCCACGGUGAAUACGUUCCCGGGCCUU